CACUUUUCUUCUGUAUAAAAAUAUGUAGUGUAUUUUAUUUAUACUCCAUGGAGUAAGUUUUCUGAUAGUUCUGGGGCCAGGGUUCAUAGGUAUUACUAUAUAAUACGAGAUUAUGAGUGGUAUUGUGAGAUGUAUAGAUGAAUUAGAGAGUAGAGGUCUGCCUCAGAGUAUAACAUUGUUGAAGGCCUAAGUGCAUCUAUUUAAACAGAAAGGACAAAGUGUUUGUUAAGCCUUAGAAAAUAAGUCUUUUACAUAGUCUCAUAUCCACUGUGCUUAGUGAAGAUGACUACGACCAUGAUCAUUAAGAGAUUAGUAGGUAACAAAGAAAGGAAAGAAACAAGAUGAGUGAUGCUUUUCACAUUUUUUUAACAUUGUACAUGCUAUCAUGAGCUAAAGAAACAGUAAUGUGAGCUGAGAGACUUAGCUAACAGAUUCCAAAAUGGUCCAUCUAAUACAUUCAGUUGAUGUGCCCAGUGAUUUUCCAAAUACACAGAUGUAGCCAAAUUACAAAGAACUGCUUCUCCGUUGCAGUAUGUGCAGCAUGUUUAAUUCAGCCACUUUUUUCUCUUGGUCAUUUAUGAAAAUGGACGGGCAAGUUGGGGCAAGGCUCUACUUUCUUCUGGUUCCUCCCAGUAAAAAUAACCAUUUAUCUCUUCCUCCUCAAAGCUUGGAGAUAGAGUAUCUCACUACCCUUCCCUUUGGCUCCUCACAGCCACAGACUCUGGAAGAGUACAGUUUUGGAGAUAAGCCAGAUACCACUUCUGGCUCCUGAACUGAAUACAACAGUUGGACAUGGAGGACAGCCAUAGCAACUCUGCAGGACGCUGAAAGUCCCCGCUGGACUCCAUCAGGCUUGAUGGCAAUGAAAGUGCGCUCGGAAAUGGAUGCCAUCGUCCUACAAGAGGAGAAAAAGGGACUCCGUAUUCCAGGACCAGAAGGCAAAUGCAGCCACAACAGAAAUCUAGAAGGCAUACCCACAAUCUUCCACAACCUUAUUGUGCUUAUGUGUACUGAUCUAAUAAGUGAAAUAAUAUCCAAAAGGUGCUACAAAAAUAAAUGUAAACGUAACAGCCCUAUAAAUAUUGAAGAGCGCAAUUAGUCCAUACCAAGAAUGAAGAGAUUUUAUAUUAAGCGAUGAAUGGAGAUUAUAUUGCAGGUCAGUGUACUCUAAGAUGCACACUGAUAGGAUGCUGCCCUCACUUUAAGACAAAACAGGCUAAACUAAGACCAGGUGUAUCACUUUGAUCUAUAGUUAUCUACAGCCAGUCAGUGUUGUAAUGAAGUAUGCUAAGAAUGUGCAUGGGGUCUGGAAGGUCAGAAAGUCAUACUGGAGUAGCCAAUGUGUCAUUUUUAGAGGCACAAACUGAGUACUACAGUAGCUACACAGUCACUGUGGUUUACAAUUGUCAACAUUUUAAAAACCAAAAUUAAGCAUUCUUCAGAAAUUAAAAACUAAUCUCUAAGAAUAUAAAACAUUUUAAAGUAUGGUGCUAACACAAUCCUAUUUCUAUAAGUAUAGCAUAGACUGAGCAAUUAGAGAAACAACCAGCUAGUUAUUCUAGAGCAGUUGUGAACAAGCUAAGGGCAUUGAAAGAAAG
This is a long non-coding RNA of Gopherus flavomarginatus (Mexican gopher tortoise), 1598 nucleotides long. RefSeq lists it as uncharacterized. The record is from RefSeq and is a predicted model, not a curated record. The transcript is spliced from 3 exons. NCBI's taxonomy places the organism in Eukaryota, Metazoa, Chordata, Testudines, Testudinidae.